RNAcentral lists this ribosomal RNA (652 nucleotides) under uncultured fungus. RNAcentral describes it as "LSU rRNA". It matches the Rfam family "Eukaryotic large subunit ribosomal RNA", at positions 23 to 664 of the family's 3401-position model. The record is from RNAcentral. Lineage: Eukaryota; Fungi.
ACCCGCUGAACUUAAGCAUAUCAAUAAGCGGAGGAAAAGAAACUAACAAGGAUUCCCCUAGUAAUGGCGAAUGAAGCGGGAAAAGCUCAAAUUUGAAAUCUGGCCGUUCUGCGGUCCGAGUUGUAAUUUCAAGAAGCGUCUUCGGAUGCGGCCCGGGUUUAAGUUCCUUGGAACAGGACGUCAUAGAGGGUGAGAACCCCGUCUUUGGCCCGGUGACCGUAUUCAUGUGAAGCGUUUUCAAAGAGUCGAGUUGUUUGGGAAUGCAGCUCAAAAUGGGUGGUAAAUUCCAUCUAAAGCUAAAUAUUGGCGAGAGACCGAUAGCGAACAAGUACCGUGAGGGAAAGAUGAAAAGCACUUUGGAAAGAGAGUUAAACAGUAUGUGAAAUUGUUGAAAGGGAAACGAUUGAAGUCAGUCAUGUCUAUUGGACUCAGCCGGUUCUGCCGGUGUACUUCCUUUAGAUGGGGUCAACAUCAGUUUUGAUCGCUGGAAAAGGGCAGGAGGAAUGUAGCACUCUCGGGUGAACUUAUAGCCUUCUGUCGUAUACAGUGGUUGGGACUGAGGAACGCAGCAUGCCUUUAUGGCCGGGGUUCGCCCACGUACAUGCUUAGGAUGUUGACAUAAUGGCUUUAAACGACCCGUCUUGAAACACGG